UGAGGAAUAUUGGUCAAUGGGAGGAAUCCUGAACCAGCCAUGCCGCGUGCAGGACGACGGCUCUACGAGUUGUAAACUGCUUUUGUACCGGGGUAAAAUGCCUUACGAGUAGGGUUUUGAAAGUACGGUACGAAUAAGGAUCGGCUAACUCCGUGCCAGCAGCCGCGGUAAUACGGAGGAUCCGAGCGUUAUCCGGAUUCAUUGGGUUUAAAGGGUGCGUAGGUUGUUUUAUAAGUUAGCGGUGAAAUACCGAUGCUCAACAUCGGGGCUGCCGCUAAUACUGUAGGACUAGAGAUCGGAUGCAGCAGGCGGAAUGUGUAGUGUAGCGGUGAAAUGCAUAGAUAUUACACAGAACACCGAUUGCGAAGGCAGCUUGCUAGGCCGGAUCUGACACUGAUGCACGAAAGCGUGGGGAGCAAACAGG
Molecule: ribosomal RNA, 424 nt
Filed under: uncultured bacterium
Lineage: Bacteria
Description: bacterial SSU rRNA
Rfam family: Bacterial small subunit ribosomal RNA
Source: RNAcentral